Molecule: ribosomal RNA, 376 nt
Filed under: uncultured bacterium
Lineage: Bacteria
Description: bacterial SSU rRNA
Rfam family: Bacterial small subunit ribosomal RNA
Source: RNAcentral
UACGUAGGUGGCAAGCGUUGUCCGGAUUUACUGGGCGUAAAGGGAGCGUAGGCGGAUACUUAAGUGGGAUGUGAAAUACCUGGGCUUAACUUGGGUGCUGCAUUCCAAACUGGGUGUCUAGAGUGUUGGAGAGGAAAGUGGAAUUCCUAGUGUAGCGGUGAAAUGCGUAGAGAUUAGGAAGAACACCAGUGGCGAAGGCGACUUUCUGGACAAUAACUGACGCUGAGGCUCGAAAGCGUGGGGAGCAAACAGGAUUAGAUACCCUGGUAGUCCACGCCGUAAACGAUGGGUACUAGGUGUAGGGGGGAUCGACUCCCCCUGUGCCGCCGUUAACACAAUAAGUACCCCGCCUGGGGAGUACGGUCGCAAGAUUAAA